This 253-nucleotide ribosomal RNA is filed under the name uncultured bacterium. RNAcentral's name for it is "partial 16S ribosomal RNA". It matches the Rfam family "Bacterial small subunit ribosomal RNA", at positions 524 to 776 of the family's 1533-position model. The record is from RNAcentral.
UACGGAGGGCGCAAGCGUUGUCCGGAUUUAUUGGGUUUAAAGGGUGCGUAGGCGGCCCGUUAAGUCAGUGGUGAAAGCCUCCAGCUCAACUGGAGAACUGCCAUUGAUACUGACGGGCUUGAGUACAGACGAGGUUGGCGGAAUUGAUGGUGUAGCGGUGAAAUGCAUAGAUACCAUCAAGAACUCCGAUUGCGUAGGCAGCUAACUAGGCUGUAACUGACGCUGAGGCACGAAAGCGUGGGGAGCGAACAGG